This 483-nucleotide ribosomal RNA is filed under the name uncultured bacterium. Its description in RNAcentral is "bacterial SSU rRNA". It matches the Rfam family "Bacterial small subunit ribosomal RNA", at positions 29 to 507 of the family's 1533-position model. The record is from RNAcentral.
AUGAACGCUAGCGACAGGCCUAACACAUGCAAGUCGAGGGGCAGCACAAGGAGCAAUCUGAGGUGGCGACCGGCGCACGGGUGAGUAACACGUAUGCAACCUGCCUGUAAGCGGGGAUAACCCGUUGAAAGACGGACUAAUACCGCAUAAAACUGGGAAUCUGCAUGGAUAUUUCAGUUAAACAUUUAUGGCUUACAGAUGGGCAUGCGCAUGAUUAGAUAGUUGGAGAGGUAACGGCUCCCCAAGUCAACGAUCAUUAGGGGUUCUGAGAGGAAGGUCCCCCACACUGGUACUGAGACACGGACCAGACUCCUACGGGAGGCAGCAGUGAGGAAUAUUGGUCAAUGGGCGAGAGCCUGAACCAGCCAAGUCGCGUGCAGGAAGAAUGUCCUAUGGAUUGUAAACUGCUUUUGCAGGGGAAUAAAGUGCGGCACGUGUGCCGUUUUGUAUGUACUCUGCGAAUAAGGAUCGGCUAACUCCGUG